Molecule: ribosomal RNA, 39 nt
Filed under: Pyemotes dryas
Lineage: Eukaryota; Metazoa; Arthropoda; Arachnida; Trombidiformes; Pyemotidae
Also listed under: 9 other names
Description: partial 5.8S ribosomal RNA
Source: RNAcentral
GGGUCGAUGAAGAACGCAGCUAGCUACGUUAAUCGGUGU